Molecule: long non-coding RNA, 1021 nt
Organism: Carya illinoinensis
Lineage: Eukaryota; Viridiplantae; Streptophyta; Magnoliopsida; Fagales; Juglandaceae
Exons: 2
Source: RefSeq, a predicted model, not a curated record
UCCUUUUAUUGUUCGUCUCACUCUCUCUUGCAAUCUUUCCUCUCUCUCUCUCUCUCUCUCUCUCCCCUUUAUCGGCUUGCUGAGGUUUGCCGUCACCUCGGCCAGAAGCUCCCCACUUCUCGGUGUUGAAUCUAGCAAUUCUUGUAGAUUACAACUUGGAAAAGGAAAGCAUCGAGAUGUCUCUUGAGUAUGGAAGUGCUUUGUGGUAAGGCUUUUGAGUUUUAGAUUUGAUAACAUAGUUUAACAGGGUAGGGGACCAUAGUUGUGUCUCUCAUGCCCCAAGUAUCCCAUCAAUAUUAUCUCACUUUCAGCUUUCUUGUAUUGCCUUCCCCGUCAAAUUUUGGAGUUUAGUGGAAUCCAGUUUGAUCAACUAGUAAUUGAGACUCAAGAAAGUGUACAGUCUCAAGUUUAACUAUGUCAGGCUGAAAUAUUGGGGAGAAAGCAUGAGAGAAAAUUAGGGCUUACGGAACGUAAAGUAGAGGUGACAAAUCCAAGGGCAAGGUGAGAGAAAGGGAGUUCAAGGGCGGGUUGAGAGGGAACCACCAUACCGACGGGGAAGGGGAACUCUACCGACAGUAAUGGGGAAGGGGAAAUGGAAGGGGAAAGAGAGAUCAGAGAAGUGGAUGGCUUGUUGCUAUGGGGGAAUAGAGCAGGCGGGAUUUGGUUGGUUUUGACUAGGGUUAGGAUUCAGAAGACUUGGAGAAGAGAAGAGGAGACUUGGAGAAGAGAAAAUGAUUCGCUUUUUUUGCUUCUUUCCAUUCCUCCUGCCAGUAGCAUUCAUUUCUGUACGCACCGUUUUACUUUUUACACGGCAGCUAGCUGGGUUUCUUGCGCAAAGGGUGCCUGGUUUUAAAUUUUUCCAUUAUGUAAAGUUUGACACUUCUAUGAUUUUAUCACUAUUGGAUUAUCUUUCAUCGCAUAAUAGUUAAAGAAAAAUGGAAUGAGUGUAAUUUAUAGAAUUUUCAUUUCUAUUUUUUCUUUCUCUUUCUGGUAGAAAAUAAUAGAUAUUUGAUGUUUGGGA